This is a small nuclear RNA of Nerophis ophidion (straightnose pipefish), 134 nucleotides long. RefSeq annotates it as U4 spliceosomal RNA. The transcript has a single exon. NCBI's taxonomy places the organism in Eukaryota, Metazoa, Chordata, Actinopteri, Syngnathiformes, Syngnathidae. The record is from RefSeq and is a predicted model, not a curated record.
CAUCUUACGCAGUGGCAGUAUCGUAGCCCAUGAGGUUUAUCCGAGGCGCGAUUAUUGCUAGUUGAUAUUAAAAGAUGAUUUUUAGUUUUUAUUUUAAUUAGCGUCCAAAGAGCAAAGAGAAAAAAAAAAUCUCU